UAUGAUGAAGAUCCAGAACCGUUCUGUCGAACCCGGUUUGAUUAAUCCCACCGAUCAGGUUCUUAUGGCCAGGCAUCUGCUCGAAGCCUCUCUCAUGGGUAUUUCCGAUCGCUUGAUUGCUUUUUUUACUUCGUUUGGUUGCCGAGAAAAUUGAAGAAAAGAAAAAAGAAAACAAAACACUCUUGAGUUUUGUGAUUUUUGUUUUGCAGAAAUGAGAAACUGACCUAAAUUAAGUCAAAAUGCUUGCAUUUGGCUUUGAAAUUUUGUUUUCUUAUCUUUUUAAUGUUUUAAUUUUCUCUAUUUUCUCAGAACCAAGUGUCCUCCAAUUGUUGAUUUUUUUUUUUUUUUUUUUGUGGUGAAUUUGGUUUUUAACUCAUCAGCUCUCAUCAUCAUAAAUAUAUUCCAAUCAAAACUAGCAUGUGUUGUCGUAAUUGCAAAUACCAAGAGUUAGGGCUCUAAUGGUAUAGUGAGAUUGAUGAGAAAGGUAGAAAACAAUAAUUUUUGGCUUAAAAGAUGAUUAUAAAGUUGCUCUAGGAAUGGGAAAUGAAUGCAAAGAUGAUUUCCCUAGUCUCAAAAACCCAAAUACCAACAUUCUCACUGAAUUUCCCAAACCCAAAAGAACUUCAUGUCUGAUCACACAUAAAAAUUCAACCCCUGUUGAUAGAAAAUGAGGAGAAGAAACAGAGAACAAAGAAAAAUCCAGCCAAUCUCAUGCCAUUGCGAUACUGGGAAUUGUUGCUAUGUUUACAUGGUAGACCUGUGGUUUAUAAUCCCAUUAGUGUCUUGUCUCAUAAGCAAAAAUUGUUCGCAAAAAUUAUGAUUUAGAGAAGGGGAUUUAUUUCCCAUCUGCCAAAACCUGUUACAUUUGUAUUUCUCAAUAUGAGAGAGAUAAUUGUUUGUAGUUUUAUUGAAUGUUUACCGGUACUUUACAGUUCAUUUUAUUCUUGGAAAAUUUUUGCUCUUCAAAACUUGAGGUUCUUCAAUUCAAUGACUCAUCAGAGAUUUUUUUACUUUGAUGCUGUUAAAUGUUCUCCAGGAAUGAUAUGAUCUACAAACACCAGUUCUUACUAUUCACUUCACAGUGUGGACUUUUUUCCCCAGAUCAAGUUCAAGGUCUAGAACCUGGUUUGAUCAUCAUUGAAUGUGAAUAAUGUCUAUUUUUAAAUAUAUAAUUUCUUGCCCAUCAAAAAAUUUUAUGCGAAUAAUCUGUAUUGAGAUAUUUGUCAAACACUUUGAGCCUUGGAUAAAGAUAUUAAGAUUCACCAUUUUAAUUCACAUUUGAUAUGCCAUCCAAUUUGUUUGAUAACCAUUCUCUUUUCCUGAUUUUGAUUUCAAGAGUAGUUAUUUACUUGCAGGGUUCUUGCUGUUCCUCGCACUGAUGAUAGAUAGACUUCACCAUUACAUUCGAGAGCUUCGUUUACUCAGGAAGGCCAUGGAGGCUGAAAAGAAGCAAAACCGAGGUUUUGAGGAUGGGAAAAAUGGCCGUGCAGAAGAGGCCAAAGCUAUGGGGGAAGAGAUGAGUUCAUUAAGGACACAAAUUAAGAAGCUGGAAUCUGAAUGCGAGACAAAAGCCAAAGAGGCAGAGGCAGCAGAAGCCAAUACAGUCGCUCUAAAAAAGCAAUCUGAAGGUUUCCUUCUGGAAUAUGACCGACUGCUGGAGGAGAAUCAAAACCUUAAGAGCCAGUUGGAGUCAAUUGACCAAGGUCUACAAUCUUGAGAGCAAGAAGAGUACACAAGUGAG
RNAcentral lists this long non-coding RNA (1741 nucleotides) under Vitis vinifera (wine grape). RNAcentral's name for it is "long non-coding RNA (VVIN_LNC003714)". Lineage: Eukaryota; Viridiplantae; Streptophyta; Magnoliopsida; Vitales; Vitaceae. The record is from RNAcentral.